RNAcentral lists this transfer RNA (64 nucleotides) under Doratura homophyla. RNAcentral describes it as "tRNA-Leu". The record is from RNAcentral. Lineage: Eukaryota; Metazoa; Arthropoda; Insecta; Hemiptera; Cicadellidae.
AAUGAUUUGGCAGAUUAGUGCAUUAAAUUUAGAAUUUAAUCAAGUAUUUUAAGUACAUUCAUUA